This 253-nucleotide ribosomal RNA is filed under the name uncultured bacterium. RNAcentral describes it as "partial 16S ribosomal RNA". It matches the Rfam family "Bacterial small subunit ribosomal RNA", at positions 524 to 776 of the family's 1533-position model. The record is from RNAcentral.
UACGAAGGGGGCUAGCGUUGUUCGGAAUUACUGGGCGUAAAGCGCGCGUAGGCGGUCUUCUAAGUCAGUGGUGAAAGCCCGGAGCUCAACUCCGGAACUGCCAUUGAAACUGUUAGACUUGAGGACGAGAGAGGUGAGUGGAAUUCCCAGUGUAGAGGUGAAAUUCGUAGAUAUUGGGAAGAACACCGGUGGCGAAGGCGGCUCACUGGCUCGUAUCUGACGCUCAGGCGCGACAGCGUGGGGAUCAAACAGG